RNAcentral lists this ribosomal RNA (253 nucleotides) under uncultured bacterium. RNAcentral's name for it is "partial 16S ribosomal RNA". It matches the Rfam family "Bacterial small subunit ribosomal RNA", at positions 524 to 776 of the family's 1533-position model. The record is from RNAcentral.
UACGUAGGAUGCAAGCGUUGUUCGGAAUUACUGGGCGUAAAGCGUAUGUAGGCGGUUACAUAAGUCUUUUAUUAAAGACCGGGGCUCAACCCCGGGAGUGUAAAGGAAACUGUGUGACUAGAGGUCAGAAGGGGAAAUCGGAAUUCUUAGUGUAGCGGUGAAAUGCGUAGAUAUUAGGAAGAACACCGGUGGCGAAAGCGGAUUUCUGGUCUGAAACUGACGCUGAGAUACGAAGGCGUGGGGAGCAAACGGG